GCUAGGGUUCAGGUUGCCUCCACUGUUGCUCCUUGAUUGCUUCCGUCUCUUGGUGAUGCAGGUCCAAACUGCCAAUUAUUUUCCGGCGAACUUAGAUUGAGCGACUCUAUUCUGCCAGUGCUUUUGGCCGAGGGAAACAAACGUAUACAAUAGAUGUGCAUGAGGCAGCAGAUUCAACUGAUCACCGGUGGCACAUGACGGGCCUCGACAAGCCAAAGAUAUCCAAAAGUAAGGGAGUGAUAAUUAUUGGCGACGCCUUAUGGCUACACAAUGUGAAUAUGCAGGAGGGUGGUUAUGCAUCCUUUUUCUACCCCUACAAGGGCUACCAGGGGCGUGCAGCAUAGUGUCAACUUAUUAUUCAUUCAAAGUUACAAGAAAAUGAAGAUCCUAUAACUCAAGCUGAUAAGACGAAGUGCCAUCCCGCCAGCGCUGCCGUCAUCACCCAUUCUCCUAUCCAAGCAGAUGUUGAAUUUUCCCCACAAGGAGACAUGAUGGCUUUUCACCUUAUUCUAUUUAUAUCGUUCUGAUUAGUUUUCAUUACCCUGUACUUUGAUUAUCUAGACAAAUAUACUGUAGCUGGCCAC
Long non-coding RNA from Triticum dicoccoides, 584 nucleotides. RefSeq lists it as uncharacterized. The transcript is spliced from 4 exons. NCBI's taxonomy places the organism in Eukaryota, Viridiplantae, Streptophyta, Magnoliopsida, Poales, Poaceae. The record is from RefSeq and is a predicted model, not a curated record.